GGGCCCCUGGUGUAAUGGUCUAACGCGUCUCACUCCUACUCUUGGCUAUCGAUUCUUUGCUACUCUUGUACCACCACAUUUGUAGAAUAGUUUCUUGCUUUCCAGGAGUGAGAAGAUCUCAGGUUCGAGUCCUGGGGGGGCCA
Cercophora sp. LCS_1 is the source of this 143-nucleotide non-coding RNA. The record is from the annotation of a GenBank genome assembly. Lineage: Eukaryota; Fungi; Ascomycota; Sordariomycetes; Sordariales; Lasiosphaeriaceae.